GACGAACGCUGGCGGCGUGCUUAACACAUGCAAGUCGAACGGAAAGGCCCUGCUUUUGUGGGGUGCUCGAGUGGCGAACGGGUGAGUAACACGUGAGUAACCUGCCCUUGACUUUGGGAUAACUUCAGGAAACUGGGGCUAAUACCGGAUAGGAGCUCCUGCUGCAUGGUGGGGGUUGGAAAGUUUCGGCGGUUGGGGAUGGACUCGCGGCUUAUCAGCUUGUUGGUGGGGUAGUGGCUUACCAAGGCUUUGACGGGUAGCCGGCCUGAGAGGGUGACCGGCCACAUUGGGACUGCGAUACGGCCCAGACGCCUACGGGAGGCAGCAGUGGGGAAUAUGGCACAAUGGGCGGAAGCCUGAUGCAGCAACGCCGCGUGCGGGAUGACGGCCUUCGGGUUGUAAACCGCUUUCGCCUGUGACGAAGCGUGAGUGACGGUAAUGGGUAAAGAAGCACCGGCUAACUACGUG
This 468-nucleotide ribosomal RNA is filed under the name uncultured bacterium. RNAcentral describes it as "partial 16S ribosomal RNA". It matches the Rfam family "Bacterial small subunit ribosomal RNA", at positions 28 to 507 of the family's 1533-position model. The record is from RNAcentral.